Molecule: long non-coding RNA, 507 nt
Organism: Anguilla rostrata (American eel)
Lineage: Eukaryota; Metazoa; Chordata; Actinopteri; Anguilliformes; Anguillidae
Exons: 2
Source: RefSeq, a predicted model, not a curated record
UGUUGCUGUCCGCCAGCCGGACUCUCGCCUGGAGUUCCGCCGAUUUUGCUACAUGUGGCUGCGAGCAGGGCCAGAGGAGAUGGCUGCGCAUCCUAUCCACAGAAAAAACGGACAGCCAAUGUGGGCGGGUUUUACGAUGACUGCAACUGGAAGUUCAUUUAACAUCAAAGAUCCUCGCCGAGACGCAGCUUGUUACUUGAGAGGGAUGGCGAUAAUCCCACGGAUGUAAACUAACAAAGAAAUCAUGGGAAUUUCGUUACGACAGAACAGCGUGCUACAGCCGGGUACACAGCACUGUUAUGAGGCUCCCGCGGUGUUAUACAAGCUUCAGAAAGAACAAAUUUGUUAUCCUACACCCGAGGGCAUCUGCUGACGGAUGUUUUCUUCUGAGUGGACGUGAGGAAGCGAGUAUUCAACAGAAGGUGCUUAUCUCGCUAUGCACUUGUUCUGAGUGUUCACCGGUUAAAACUUGACGGAUUUAAGUAUUAAAUUACCAUUGUCGUUUAA